UUAGUGGCGGACGGGUGAGUAACGCGUGGAUAACCUGCCGUAUACAGGGGGAUAACACUUAGAAAUAGGUGCUAAUACCGCAUAAGCGCACGGUUCCGCAUGGAACAGUGUGAAAAACUCCGGUGGUAUACGAUGGAUCAGCGUCUGAUUAGCCAGUUGGUGGGGUAACGGCCCACCAAAGCGACGAUCAGUAGCCGGCCUGAGAGGGUGAACGGCCACAUUGGGACUGAGACACGGCCCAAACUCCUACGGGAGGCAGCAG
This 262-nucleotide ribosomal RNA is filed under the name uncultured bacterium. RNAcentral's name for it is "partial 16S ribosomal RNA". It matches the Rfam family "Bacterial small subunit ribosomal RNA", at positions 92 to 354 of the family's 1533-position model. The record is from RNAcentral.